GUCCUAAUGGGCCCCGCCCACCUGCCGUGGUGGCACGAGCGUGCGGCGAAACCGUUUAACGUUAUUAAAAAAAAACUCGACGGAGGUAGCCGUUGGAAAGUUCUUCUACGACUCAAGACACGAAAAAGGUCGCAGUUGUUGUCGACAAACAGUUAGUACUUGGGUUUGGAGGUUUUUCAGUCUCUAACCGUCAAGUAAACGUUUUUCUUACAUUAAUUUUGUACCAUUUAACUCCGUUUUACAAGUUGGACGCUAAUCGCGAUUAGCGUGUUAGCAUGCUAGCCAAAGUGGGAUAGCUAGCAGUUGACCGGCUAUUGUCUGUAAGUGUUCAUAUUUUAAUUGAGCUUACUGCCAUAGAAUGAUGAAGCAUUUUAGUUUUGGUGAUAUAAGUAACUGAAGACAUGGCUUUUCUAUUUUUUAGGACCAUGAAACUCCGCUUAGAGUGUGAGGCAUGCUACACUUUGGCUGCAACAAACCUGACUCCUCAUCGGACGUUGGCAGCGUCCAGCCAGAGGUCCACCCACAGCCUUUCCCACAAAGUUUCACCAUCUGUUACCUGCUGAAACUUAUUGCAGCACACAUGGAGUUGUGAAUACAAACAUACAAUUUUGAGUCUUUGAGGCUGAAACUUAAAGAGAUAGCCAUCUGAUAUUAAUUUCGGGUUUAAACACACCGCAAC
Non-coding RNA from Xyrichtys novacula (pearly razorfish), 679 nucleotides. Lineage: Eukaryota; Metazoa; Chordata; Actinopteri; Labriformes; Labridae. The record is from the annotation of a GenBank genome assembly.